AUUUAUAUAGUUUAAAAAAAACAUUACACUUUCAUUGUAAAAACAAAGAAACCUUUUAUAAAUA
Molecule: transfer RNA, 64 nt
Filed under: Termitogeton planus
Lineage: Eukaryota; Metazoa; Arthropoda; Insecta; Blattodea; Rhinotermitidae
Description: tRNA-Glu
Rfam family: tRNA
About the family: Transfer RNA (tRNA) molecules are approximately 80 nucleotides in length.
Source: RNAcentral